GCCGGCAGCCGCAGAGCGCGGGCCGGGGCUGCCCGCGGCCUCCUGCGGGCCCGGGGCCGGCGGGGAGGGCCCGGCUCCAAGGGGCCUUUUCCAGCUGCCGAUUCCAGACAUUCCUCGGAUGCUUCUCCUCCUUUGUCUGAGGCCGCCCUGGAAUCUCGCUGUGCAGAGCGGUUUCCCUGGGCGGAAUGUGUGUGGCGCGGCCCAGGAAUCCGUCGCGCGGGGGUGCGGGUGGAACGGGCGCAGCAGGUUCGUGUUUUGCUGGGGAGUGACUCAUGCAGCCUUUGAUUCUAGAGUGGUGGUUUUCUCACUUUCUUCAGAUUACCUAUAGAUUUCCUGAAUAAAAAGAUUUUCCUACCCUUGAACCAGGAUGAAAAUUUUAUAACCCAGCAACCAGAGAAGAUCCGUUAGCACAGCUAAUAGAUACCUGCAUCGAGUGUCUCACCUAUCAUCGAGGAAGUCGCUUGGGUGCUCAGAACAAAGGCUGGUUUCAUCUCAUCUGCGGCAGGAGCUAGUAAAGCAUGCUUCAGAGAAACAGCCCUGUGCUGUGGGUUCACUCAGGGGAAAGGUCCAUAGAAAUGGCCUGUAAGGAGACCAGGACACUUUGAAAUAUGCAACUAGACAGUGUUUUUCUUCCUCAAUGUAAUCUUACCACACCGAUUUUUUUUUCUUUCCUUCUUUGGCUUUUUACCGGUUCCUUUAUUGACAAAAAUAAAUGUGUUUCUCCUGUG
Molecule: long non-coding RNA, 728 nt
Organism: Cygnus olor (mute swan)
Lineage: Eukaryota; Metazoa; Chordata; Aves; Anseriformes; Anatidae
Exons: 2
Source: RefSeq, a predicted model, not a curated record